GUGCACGCUGGCGGUAGGCCUCACACCUGCCGGUCGCACGGCAGCACAGUAAGAGCUUGCUCUUACGGGUGGCGAGUGGCGGACGGGUGAGGAAUACAUCGGAAUCUACUUUUUCGUGGGGGAUAACGUAGGGAAACUUACGCUAAUACCGCAUACGACCUACGGGUGAAAGCAGGGGAUCUUCGGACCUUGCGCGAUUGAAUGAGCCGAUGUCGGAUUAGCUAGUUGGCGGGGUAAAGGCCCACCAAGGCGACGAUCCGUAGCUGGUCUGAGAGGAUGAUCAGCCACACUGGAACUGAGACACGGUCCAGACUCCUACGGGAGGCAGCAGUGGGGAAUAUUGGACAAUGGGCGCAAGCCUGAUCCAGCCAUACCGCGUGGGUGAAGAAGGCCUUCGGGUUGUAAAGCCCUUUUGUUGGGAAAGAAAAGCAGCAGGUUAAUACCCCGCUGUUCUGACGGUACCCAAAGAAUAAGCACCGGCUAACUUCGUG
RNAcentral lists this ribosomal RNA (491 nucleotides) under uncultured bacterium. RNAcentral describes it as "partial 16S ribosomal RNA". It matches the Rfam family "Bacterial small subunit ribosomal RNA", at positions 29 to 507 of the family's 1533-position model. The record is from RNAcentral.